Molecule: non-coding RNA, 358 nt
Organism: Anas platyrhynchos (mallard)
Lineage: Eukaryota; Metazoa; Chordata; Aves; Anseriformes; Anatidae
Source: RefSeq, a predicted model, not a curated record
CCUGGUGGACACCAGCUCUCCUAGGAAAUGGCUGAUGUUGCUGAGGAGGCAGCAGUAUCAAAGCCCUUGUUGAUGAAGGUACAACAAGCUGGGGAGGCUUUGGCAUUUCUGCACAAUGCUGCUCCCUGAUUGUCACUCAAGACUCAGAUUCUGAAAGAAGCAAAGCAAGCUAGAGGAAAACUGUACGUCCGGGAUCCAAAACUCCGUAUUACAGCGGAUCUUCUCCUCUGAUCUGAAAAGCUUCACAGGCCAAAAGAGAAUUGAGAUGACGAAGGAAACAGAGAAUGCUGACCAGUAUUUCCAAUUACCACCCGUAUUAGGUGAAGAAGAACACUGCAACCAGCUGAAGCCGUAUCAG